This 460-nucleotide ribosomal RNA is filed under the name uncultured bacterium. RNAcentral describes it as "partial 16S ribosomal RNA". It matches the Rfam family "Bacterial small subunit ribosomal RNA", at positions 338 to 795 of the family's 1533-position model. The record is from RNAcentral.
CCUACGGGGCGCAGCAGUGAGGAAUAUUGGUCAAUGGACGAGAGUCUGAACCAGCCAAGUAGCGUGAAGGAUGACUGCCCUAUGGGUUGUAAACUUCUUUUAUAUGGGAAUAAAAUGUUCCACGUGUGGGAUUUUGUAUGUACCAUAUGAAUAAGGAUCGGCUAACUCCGGGCCAGCAGCCGCGGUAAUACGGAGGAUCCGAGCGUUAUCCGGAUUUAUUGGGUUUAAAGGGAGCGUAGGUGGAUUGUUAAGUCAGUUGUGAAAGUUUGCGGCUCAACCGUAAAAUUGCAGUUGAAACUGGCAGUCUUGAGUACAGUAGAGGUGGGCGGAAUUCGUGGUGUAGCGGUGAAAUGCUUAGAUAUCACGAAGAACUCCGAUUGCGAAGGCAGUUCACUGGACUGCAACUGACACUGAGGCUCGAAAGUGUGGGUAUCAAACAGGAUUAGAUACCCCAGUAGUC